This is a long non-coding RNA of Monopterus albus (swamp eel), 3141 nucleotides long. RefSeq lists it as uncharacterized. The transcript is spliced from 4 exons. Lineage: Eukaryota; Metazoa; Chordata; Actinopteri; Synbranchiformes; Synbranchidae. The record is from RefSeq and is a predicted model, not a curated record.
GGCCUUGUUGCCUUCAGUCGUCUGUCAAACUCAGACUUGUUUUGGUUUCCUCGACAGAAAACUUCAACACCUAACGGCAGUAGACCCUGCUGCUGAUCAGCUUCGUUAUUGAUGAAGAGGAAGUGAGGAGUAGUGCUCAAGUUGACUGUUGAGUUUGACUGAGAUAUGUCUGAGACAACCAGCAAUCCCAGGUCAUGUACCAUGGGUUUAUCGGAAGCUUUCUCUAAAAAAUCAGCUGUCUGCUGUGGCCAAAUGAAGCAGAACAGCACAGUUCCAAGCCAGAAAACCAAAGCAAUAGACAGACACUCCGACACUGAAAUUGUCCAAGUUGAUACCAGCGGCAGUCAGACAAAGUGCCUGAGUCCCCCACAAUGCGAGCGUGUAAACAGGUUUCGAUCCCCACAAUGUGAGUAAUACCAGGUGCACAAAUCUGGACCUUGUUGCAGUUCAGUGGUACCUGUCAGCACCCUGAAAUACUGCAGUGAAAUAAUUGGACAUUGUCAGGUUGUUAAAGCCAUUUAAAAAAUAAUUCAUUUACCAACUGGUAGUUAAACCUACGUUCAAAGCAACAACUUUGGACAUGGAUAUUGAGUCUGAAUGUUAUUUAAUCUAAAGCACUGUUGCAUCAAUUUUUUUUUAUUUUUAUAAAUGAUUGCUUAUCUUACUGUUGCAAAUAAAUAUAUGGUGAAUUCUUACACUCUUGUAAACAAGGAUUACUAUAUGAACAAGCAGGAACAGUACAGUACACAGUGUAGGCACCACUGGCAUUCUGUUACCAUCUGAACGGACUAGUUUGUAGAGUAUGUCAUAGUGCUCCAACUGGCAGAGCUGAUACACAUGACAUGUGAAUGUAAUGUGUGAGCUGGAUGACCAGGCCUGGCCUCGACAAGACAAAGCUUUCUUUCUGCACCACAGGAAAAGGAUAUGACAUCAUUCUGUCCAUACAAAGCCUCUGGACUAAAAAAAGGGUCUAUGCUAAGAAAUUUCAUUGUAUCUGAAUAAUAAGGGGUUAUUUUUGUGCUUACUUUUAGUAGAUGUCUUCAGAGUGAUGCAAUGUCUUGUAGAUCUGAAGAAGAAGAAUUAUUUAGUUUCUGUCAAUACAAAGAGUUGAAAUGAUGCAAUGAGGAAAACAAACAAAAUGUUGAUUUUAAAGUGAAUAUAAAGUAAACUACAUAUUAAAGUUAAUGUCACUCACUCAUAGAGCAGCACUUUUGAUAUCUCGAGUCCGUUAUGGAAACAAACAAAUAUGUUUGAACAACCACAGCCUAACUCUGUGGUUAGAUUUAUGAGCUGCCAUUACAUAGCAUGGUUACUGUGUGACUGGCAUAAAUGAAACUUCUGUUAGAAGGAAAACAGGGUGAAAACUCAGCUGUAAGAAGGACACCACUUGCUGUCUGUGUGAUAUUUGGGGAAUGUGGCCUCUUCAUGUUUGAGAUGCCAUGGUCUGCUUUCACACCCAGUAUCUCUCCUGUCAGCAGUGAUGUGUUAUGUGAGGACACACUCCUUGUAAAGUGAAAUCUUACAACUGCAUCACAUUUGAAACUUAAACGUGUGUAUUCACAUUGAAAACAUCAGUGUCUCACCAUUUAUUCAAAUCUGUUUUUUGCUGGCUGUUUUUUUUUUAAACAAUUUUUCAUCAAUGUAUUUUUUUUCUAAAUCUGCUCCCUUUAGCUUCGAUUUGCUUCCCUUGUAUAUGGUCCAUUCCUGUGCUGUGUGUGACAUUCUCCCACAGUUCAACUAAUCAAAAGUUUAUCAAAUUAUAAUCAUGAUGCAUUAAGGCCACUGUUGCACACAGUGCCUGGCUAUAAACACAUUAGCAUCUUGCUAAUGAACAAGGACAAGACACCUCACUAAAGAUAUUCUUUCAAUAGUGGAUAUUGGCUCUCAAGACCCCCCAGUGGUCAAAUCUAUGCACUGCAGGCUGUGACCGCAUGAGUGGAACUGUGUACACAGGAACCUAAAUUCAGUAAAAUAUUAGUAUACAGAGAAUUAUUUAUGGCACUCUUAAUACCAAUUUGUACUACCAAUAUACUCCAAACAUUUCAGAUAUUAAUUGCCAAGGCAAAAACAAGCUUAUUUCCCUCAAACAUCAGAAUUAACUAAACAAAUGCAUUUUCUGAAGAAAAUUCAUGUGGAUGCUGUGUGUGUCUUACUGUGUGACCGUUUGUGCAGUACCAUGUGAACUUUAAUGCUUCUAUUUUAAGCAAUUAAACCAAUAGCAGAAACCAGUAAAUGUGUUCCUAUACAGCAGGUGGAUAGCUCGGUGGUUAACACUACCGACUAUGAUACAGCAGGUCGGGGUUUGAUACUCUGUCAAGGCACGAUAGAUCAUUUUGUGAGUGUGAUUUAGAUCCUUGUGCAAUCUUAUUAACCAGUAGCAGAAACCAGUAAAAGACUCUCUAGUCAUGUAACUACAGGAGAAGUCUUCACAACUGUGGUCCAGGCACAUGCAGUGCAACAGCAUGGAGAAAAACGUGAGGUGCUCUGCUGUGAUAACCCCCACCAGUAGGGUUUUCCCAUCUUAGACCAAAACUUAAGCAGCUGGCUGAGCUGGGAUGGAGCUGGGAUGUUUAUAAGUUUUGUAAACAUUUGAUUUCAAUAAUAAAUGGUGCAUUUAUAAACAGAUUUGCCUGUCUUUAUGCAUGUCCUCAAGAAUGUUGCUGGUGAUUGUCUGGCCACAGAAGGACAUCUGGUUAAGGAUUGCCUAAGGGGGAAAUGGAAAAAGUUUGAGUUUAAAGCAUGAUAUGCUCCAUAAAUUCAACCUGUCAUGUUUUGUUUUUAAUAUGUUUGCUUCACUUUGAACAAAAAGGCUUUCAGUGAGCACAUUUGUACCUUAGCAGUUAACAUCCUUUGAUUAUACAUCUCAGAAUCAGCUUUAUUGGCCAGCUGUGUUGGACACAUGACAAAUUUGACUCUAGUACAGCAGCUCUUAAUGCGCAUGUACAUGGCCUUAUGUAAUGCAGCAGUGGGAAAGUAACCAAUGUAAGGCUGAGAACAGAAGUAAAGUGCAAUCAAGCAAAGGAAUGUGCCUUUGGAGUAAACAAAGUACUAUAUACACACAGUCUGGAUUCGAUGGAUCGAUAUGUAUAAGGUAUAUAUUUACAGGUAUUGCACUGAGGGUUAUUGUCCAGUCAUACUGUC